This 580-nucleotide ribosomal RNA is filed under the name Mesoceration dissonum. RNAcentral's name for it is "partial large subunit ribosomal RNA". It matches the Rfam family "Bacterial large subunit ribosomal RNA", at positions 1825 to 2650 of the family's 2925-position model. The record is from RNAcentral. Lineage: Eukaryota; Metazoa; Arthropoda; Insecta; Coleoptera; Hydraenidae.
GUCUUUUUGAUAANUAANUUUAAAGUCUAGUCUGCCCAAUGNANNAUUANUUGAAUGGCCGCGGNNUAUUUUGACUGUGCAAAGGUAGCAUAAUAAUUAGUUUUUUAAUUGAAAGCUGGUAUGAAUGGCUGAACGAGAAAAUUACUGUCUCAAAUUNAAAUUUAUUAGAAUUUUAUUUUUAAGUUAAAAAGCUUAAAUUAAAUUAAAAGACGAGAAGACCCUAUAGAGUUUNAAUAAUUAUUUUANAUUNNUUNUANUUUUAGAAAUANANNNUUUUUAUUNAUAAUAAUUAUUUUAUUGGGGUGAUAUAUAAAUUUAACAAACUUUANUNAAAUNUUAAUACAUAUUUCUAUGAUUAAGUGAUCCAUUAAUNUAUGAUUAUAAGAUUUAAUUACCUUAGGGAUAACAGCGUAAUCUUUUUAAAGAGUUCUAAUCGAAAAAAAGGAUUGCGACCUCGAUGUUGGAUUAAAAUUAAUAUUUGGUGUAGAAGCUNAANAUAAUUAGGUCUGUUCGACCUUUAAAAUUUUACAUGAUCUGAGUUUAAAUCGGUGUGAGCCAGGUUGGUUUCUAUCUUUAAUAU